RNAcentral lists this long non-coding RNA (407 nucleotides) under Setaria italica (foxtail millet). Its description in RNAcentral is "long non-coding RNA (SITA_LNC001083)". Lineage: Eukaryota; Viridiplantae; Streptophyta; Magnoliopsida; Poales; Poaceae. The record is from RNAcentral.
CGUUACCUUUGUGUUCGCCCUCCGCCUCCAAUUCCAAAUCAACAAAGUCCUCGUAACAUUAUCCUCACUCCUUUCCUAACCAUAGCAAAGGAGCCUGUGUACCGCAGCUGCCACCACAGGUGUUCGUGCUGCGGGUCCGAUGUGCUCCAGCAGGAUCCACUGCAUGCAUGCAGCUGCGUGCCCAAGGGCCGCCCCUCCACCUGACGCGCCUCUCCUCUGACCUGGUGAGCCUCCUCCCCUCCCUCGACCUCGACCCCACUGCGACACGGCCUCCUCUUCCGGCCGAUCCGAUGUGCCACCUCCUCCGACCCUGACUUGGCGCCUCCUCCUCCCAAGCGGAUGUGUUCUCUUCUUGUACCUUAUGGAUGCAUGGAUGGAUGAAUAUGAAUGGGAUCUAUGGAUAAAUG